RNAcentral lists this long non-coding RNA (76 nucleotides) under Chrysemys picta bellii (western painted turtle). Its description in RNAcentral is "Mammalian CPEB3 ribozyme (ENSCPBG00000015736.1)". It matches the Rfam family "Mammalian CPEB3 ribozyme". Rfam says of the family: The mammalian CPEB3 ribozyme is a self cleaving RNA located in the second intron of the CPEB3 gene which belongs to a family of genes regulating messenger RNA polyadenylation. The record is from Rfam by way of RNAcentral. Lineage: Eukaryota; Metazoa; Chordata; Testudines; Emydidae.
ACUGUAUUACAGGGCCGUAGAAGGAGCUUUUAUGUCUCAGGCCCUGUCAGAUUCUUAGGAAUCUCCAAAUUCUGCU